RNAcentral lists this ribosomal RNA (627 nucleotides) under Shigella flexneri. Its description in RNAcentral is "bacterial SSU rRNA". It matches the Rfam family "Bacterial small subunit ribosomal RNA", at positions 811 to 1437 of the family's 1533-position model. Lineage: Bacteria; Pseudomonadati; Pseudomonadota; Gammaproteobacteria; Enterobacterales; Enterobacteriaceae. The record is from RNAcentral.
GUCGAUUUGGAGGUUGUGCCCUUGAGGCGUGGCUUCCGGAGCUAACGCGUUAAAUCGACCGCCUGGGGAGUACGNCCGCAAGGUUAAAACUCAAAUGAAUUGACGGGGGCCCGCACAAGCGGUGGAGCAUGUGGUUUAAUUCGAUGCAACGCGAAGAACCUUACCUGGUCUUGACAUCCACAGAAGUUUCCAGAGAUGGGAAUGUGCCUUCGGGAACUGUGAGACAGGUGCUGCAUGGCUGUCGUCAGCUCGUGUUGUGAAAUGUUGGGUUAAGUCCCGCAACGAGCGCAACCCUUAUCCUUUGUUGCCAGCGGUCCGGCCGGGAACUCAAAGGAGACUGCCAGUGAUAAACUGGAGGAAGGUGGGGAUGACGUCAAGUCAUCAUGGCCCUUACGACCAGGGCUACACACGUGCUACAAUGGCGCAUACAAAGAGAAGCGACCUCGCGAGAGCAAGCGGACCUCAUAAAGUGCGUCGUAGUCCGGAUUGGAGUCUGCAACUCGACUCCAUGAAGUCGGAAUCGCUAGUAAUCGUGAAUCAGAAUGUCACGGUGAAUACGUUCCCGGGCCUUGUACACACCGCCCGUCACAACCAUGGGAGUGGGUUGNAAAAGAAGUAGGUAGCUUA